AGGGAAUAUUGCAAAAUGGGCGAAAGCCCGAUGCAGCAACGCCGCGUGGGCGAUGAAGGCCUUCGGGUCGUAAAGCCCUUUUUGAGGGGAUGAGGAAGGACAGUACCCUCAGAAUAAGCCUCGGCUAACUACGUGCCAGCAGCCGCGGUAAAACGUAGGAGGCGAGCGUUAUCCGGAUUUACUGGGCGUAAAGCGCGUGCAGGCGGAUUGGAGAGUUGGAUGUGAAAGCUCCCGGCUUAACUGGGAGAGGUCGUUCAAUACUUCCAGUCUUGAGUGCAGUAGAGGGAAGUGGAAUUCCGGGUGUAGUGGUCAAAUGCGUAGAUAUCCGGAGGAACACCAGUGGCGAAAGCGGCUUCCUGGACUGUAACUGACGCUCAGACGCGAAAGCUAGGGUAGCAAACG
This 402-nucleotide ribosomal RNA is filed under the name uncultured bacterium. RNAcentral describes it as "bacterial SSU rRNA". It matches the Rfam family "Bacterial small subunit ribosomal RNA", at positions 356 to 774 of the family's 1533-position model. The record is from RNAcentral.